This 254-nucleotide ribosomal RNA is filed under the name uncultured bacterium. RNAcentral's name for it is "partial 16S ribosomal RNA". It matches the Rfam family "Bacterial small subunit ribosomal RNA", at positions 524 to 776 of the family's 1533-position model. The record is from RNAcentral.
CACGUAGGGGGCGAGCGUUGUCCGGAAUCAUUGGGCGUAAAGAGCUCGUAGGCGGUUUGGCAAGUCGGGUGUGAAAACUCCGGGCUCAACUCGGAGACGCCACUCGAUACUGCCAUGACUAGAGUCCGGUAGGGGAGUGCGGAAUUCCUGGUGUAGCGGUGAAAUUCGUAGAUAUCGGGAAGAACACCGGUGGCGAAGGCGCCUUCCUGGACGAUAACUGACGCUGAGACGCGAAAGCGUGGGGAGCAAACAGG